This 818-nucleotide long non-coding RNA is filed under the name Marmota monax (woodchuck). Lineage: Eukaryota; Metazoa; Chordata; Mammalia; Rodentia; Sciuridae. The record is from RNAcentral.
AUCUGUGGCUUGAAAUAGCAUUUUUUCCUUUUCAGCAUUGCCGGUUAAAGAAAUCCAGGCCUCUAAGAGAGGCUGGGACAGAAGCGAGUACUAACUGGCAAGACCAUGGCAAGAAUGCUGCUGGAUAAAGUUGAAGGCGGAAAACCUGCCCGUAAUGACAUUGUGCUCUGUGUUUAGUUACUGUCAGAUAUCCUUCAGGCAUUGUCUCUAAGGACACUUGGAGACUACAGAGGUUCUAAACUUUAAUAAUAUCUCCCAUGGAAGUACCAUCCCAUGCAAAUUAAUUGUCAUGGGGUAACAUUAUUCAAACUGGGAACUCUAAUUUCCAAAUAUUAUACAAAGUUUGAUCAGUGGGCACAGCUAUUCUGUGAUAAAUAAGUUUAUUUCUGUCUCUUCUUUUGACCAAAGGAAAAAUCAAGUCAAUGACCUUUGUAGAUACCUUGUUUAGAAUAAGACGUAAAAGAUUUUGUACUAUCAUGUCUGAGAGAUUUUUUUUUGAUUAGCUAGAAAUCUUUGGAAUAGGUAAUCUUUCAUCAGAGAAAUGAGGAAUCAUCUUAGUUUCAAGGCUUCCUUAUAGUGAGCCAUAUUUUAAACUCCGCAGAGCCUAAAUUUCUGUGUCUGUAAAAUACAAAUAAUACUGCCAUAACAUCUUAGUGAUAGAAGAAUUAAAUAGUGUCUGACAUAUGGUAAAUGCUCAGUAAAUCUUAACUCUGUAUAUAUACCUACAAAUAAAUCACACAGUUAUUGCCCCAUAUGCCCGAGUCCCUCUCUUAGUGUCUUGCCUCCUAAGAAGCACCAUAUUUCACACAUAGGUGGCG